ACGGGCAAGGCCAAGUGGGAUGCCUGGAAUGAGCUGAAAGGGACUUCCAAGGAAGAUGCCAUGAAAGCUUACAUCAACAAAGUAGAAGAGCUAAAGAAAAAAUACGGG
This 108-nucleotide unclassified non-coding RNA is filed under the name Homo sapiens (human). The record is from RNAcentral. Lineage: Eukaryota; Metazoa; Chordata; Mammalia; Primates; Hominidae.